AGCAAUUAGAAUCCUUUCACAUAAUUAUCAUCUAAUGUUAUUAAAUAGCGCUUUGGAUUUUCCUAGUGACCAAAUUCAAGUAUCGUUUUCGAGUAAAUUAAUUUACAUGAAAUGGGUCUCAAUUUCAUUGUCAAUUAAUUUGACUUGAAAGAUACAAAAGGAAACAAGUUUAAAAUAUGGCUUGGAAGUUCAAGACAGGUUUCAACAGACUUCUUAUUGUAAUAUUAUGAAAAAUAUGCUUAGAUUAAUUCAGUGACUUAGGUGAUAAGACUAAAUAAAAUAAAAUAAAAUAAAACUUGAGAAAAUUCAAUAAUUGUGACAAUGCAGCCGCGUUACCUUAAUAAAUAUUGAUACAGUGCAAUAUAUACAUUGAUUCAAAAGACACCAUUAUUCACAUGUUGAACUUAUCGUCAUCUUAUCAUCAUUUUUGUUUCCUUUUUUCUUGUAUCUUGAAUUCUAUUAAGAAACUGAAAUUGAUGGAUGAUGCAACUAAAGAGAAAUUGAGGAAAAUUUGGAAAUGUAAUGUCACACAAAGGGACAUGAAAAUUUAUUUAUGUCUACAAGCAAAGACAGAAGAAACCACUAUUUAAUUGAGGAUUACAAUACUUCUCCUAAAUAUAAGGAGAGAAUAAUUACAUUACUUCUUAUACUGGGAGAAAACAGCUCUAUGAUUUAAAACUAGAAGAAUAAACCUUAAGGAGAGACUGAUUUUUUUUUUUUAGAUAAAUGCUCGAAUAGUCCCUAUAUUUUAGUUAAAUUAUCGGUUUAGUUUCUAUAUUUUAAAAAAUAUAUGUUCAAUCACUUUGGCAUACUUACAAGAAUGAAUUAGAAGUAUAUUCAUCAUUAUUAUCAGAACUUAAUGUUUUAAUCUUUCUACCAAUUUGAGUCUACAAUAGUUUCUUACAUUUUAUGAAAUCUAUAAAACCUCAUCAUUUGCUCGCAUGUUGUACACCCACACAUGUCUAGACAAAUCAUCAACAAAUAGAAGAAAAUAAUGGCUUUCAACCAUUGAUGCAGUUUUGGUUGGUCCACAUACAUUACUAUGAACAUAUUUAAGGAUCUUAUGAGUAUCGUAAUUAGUUGAACCAAACUUAACCCUUGUUUUCUUGCCUCCCACACAAUGCUCACAAAACUUCAUUUUACAAGUAUUGGUACAUUUAAAAGGCCUCAUUAAAGUUUGUAGAUUUUUUUUCCAGCACGUCCUAGUCGUACAUACCAUAACUUAGUGGUGUCACUGUGUGCCUCAAAAACAUUAGUUUUAUCAGUUGUACUUCAUUUCAAAUAGUAUAAAUUAUGACGUCAAACUCCUUAUAGAAUCACCAUAGCUCUGUAUGUAAAUUUCAUUGUGUCAUCUUCAAUGGUAACUUUUUAUCCUUUAGCUUUUGAAGCACUUAUAGAAAUUAGAUUUUUUCUUAAUGCUGGAAUCUAUCAAACUUCUUUUAAUUCUCUAACUAUUCUAUUGAACAUUUUUAAGUCGAAUUGUUCUUAUCCCCAUCAUGCGGUAAGGUUGAUCAUUCCCUAUUAUAACUGCACUAGAUUCUAAAUUACAAAAAUCCGUAAACCUUUCCCUCAUGGAAUACAAAUGAUAAAUUGCUUCGGUAUCAAGUAUUUACUUGUUCAAAUUAACCACAUAUGAUGCAGGCAUGAUACUUAGUGCAUAGUCAUAAUCUUUAUCUUUACUUGCCAUAUUUACUGCCACUUGUUUCCUAUCUCUCUUCUGAGCUUUAAGAUAAUCUUUCCUCCAAUGACCCCUUUCAUGACAAGAGGCACACUUGAGUUAUAUUUAUGCUUUUUAGACUGCGAAUUCUUUCUACCAUCUUCUUCCUUUUCUCUACCGUCCUUUCUCUUAUUAACAAAACCUCAAAUGAUGCUCUUUUGAAAUGUUUAUCAUUAUUACAAAUUUUCAAAUUGGUCAGUGUUGUGCAAACAUCCAUGAAGAUGAUUAUGUUUUUCUCGUAUAACAAAGUAGUCACAAAAUGGUAAUAUUCUUCUAGAAGUAAGUGUAGUAGAAUUAUAACAUUAACUUUAUCAUUAAUAUAUUCAUCAAGAUUCUUCGAAUCUGCAAGAAACUUUUCAAAUCUUGAGAUAUGGUCGUGCAUUUACACCCUAGGCUUUAUUAAAAAGCCAUAUACCUAGCUUAUUAUAUGAAGGCGAUUUUCAAGACUUUUCAGUAGGUACUUUUCCUCUAAUGUACGCCACAAAGUCAUUGCACACUCCUUAUUUUUCACCACAUAUUUUACCUCCUAUGUCAAACAAUAUCUUAUCUAACCACAGGCUUCCUUGUUCAUACAAUCUCAAGUUUUUUUUAUCUUAGAAGUAUCUUUCAUUUUCAAAAUAGCAUCAAGAUCGAUUUAAAUAAAGGCAUCCAUAACUUCACGCCUCAAACUUUUCAACAUCGAUCUUUUGGCCUCCUAUAACAUGUGUUGAAUGGUAACGUGACAAGUCUCACCUUUCACCUGACAUGUUUCCUGAAAUAGUCUGAGUAGAUCUCUGUCCACUUUUAGAAGUUUUACCUUCUACGAUUUUCUUAAUAAACUAUUCCCACUUGAUAAAUCAGUACAUAUGGAAAAAUGCAACAGGAAAGUUCUUAAGAAAGACAGUUGGAAUCACACUAGUCCCACUUAAAACCCAAAAUCCAUAGCCUUUUAUCGCCUUUGUGACAGAACUUUCACAAACAUGCACAAGUCCACACCACUAUAUAAGCUACUAAUCCUCCUAGGUACAAGCUCUCCGAAUUCGUGAACAGUACCGUACACCCCAAGUAUGAACCUUUCUCUGAUACCACUUGUAGGCUCUAAUGCAACUUAUUGUGUGUGUAAUGUGGAAUCAAACGCACCAAAUAAUCACAAAAAUAAAGGACACAAGAAUUUAACAUUGUUCAACAAUUAUACCUACGUGCAUGGGAGCAAGAUGAAAUAAUUGUAUUACUAACAAUUAUUAAAGUAUAAUAUUUGAGUAAAGAAACCUCACUUUCCAGAAUUCAAAUACACUCAGUACUCCACACACACUUGAAAGGAAAAUCUCUCAAUUGCUCGUACUUUCCAAUUGCUCACUAUAAAAAAAUUCUUCACUUGAAUUAUUUCUUUUAAAUUUGGGAUACUUAGAAUGAAAGAAGUGUCUUCUAUUUAUAGGAAAAAUAAUGACACUAUUGCACCAACCUCGCCCUUGUCAAUUUGACAAAUCCACCAAUAUUUGGCUGAUUUGUCAACAAUGUUAUGCACCGAAUUUGGUCUACAAUAUUCUUGACUUCAUAAGAUGAUUAUGUCGUGAUUAUGGACUUUGCUUGUUCAUGUCGCACUUAUGGAACUUUGGUUGUUCUAGCUACAAUUUUCUUUUUCCUCCAAGCAUUUUCUUGGAAAACAAACACAAAGAACAGAAGGAUAGUACCUCUAGGGCCAAAAGUUUUCUAAUAUUUUGAUGCCUUCAUUUGUGAGGCCAAUUUCCUCAUAGAGCUUUGCAUAAACUAGCCAAAAUAUAUGGCCCCAUCAUGCACUUACGCUUGGUCUUAGUGACUACAAUUGUUGUUUUUUUACUACAAGCAGCUAAGAAAUUACCCAAAACACAUGACCUUAUUGUUGCCAACAGGCCUCAUCUUCAAGCUUCUAAGCAUGUUUCUUAUGACCCAAAGAAUUUUGCAAUUUCCCCAUAUGCAUCUUAUUGGAGAACAAUCUAAAAAAUAUGUACUCUAAAAUUGUUAAGUAUUGAAUAAGUUGAAGAUAUCUGACUAGCAUGCAACCUUUGACUUUGGCACCAAAGUAGAAUGUUGAAUGAAAAUUUAUAUUCUCUUUUAAAGCCCACCAUUGUUGAUUUGUGGACGUUACUUGGUCUAUAGAUUGGAGUGCAAAGGAAGAGUAUUCGAUCCCAUUUUCUUGAGUUCCCAAUCUAUUUGAGAAGUGAUAAAGUCAAUGGUUAAAGAUUGAGAGUAUGUUGAGAGCUUUAAACUCUUGGUUUAAUGAAUGAGAGAUUGGGUGUAUUGGGGUUUUAGUGGUAAGCUAAAAUACUCUAAUAUUUGUAAUCUCCAUUUAACUAGUAAGGCUUUACUUUUCUAUCUUUGCCCAUAGACGUAGGCAAAAAGGCAAACCAUGUAAAUUCUGGUGUCAAUGUAUGAUUAUAAUUUCUCAAUUUCAGUUUAAUUGUGUGUCUGCUUCAUCCAUUAAUUUCUUUACAUUAAAUAGUGUCAAGAUCAAUUAUUUCCAACUUAUAAGAAAAGAAGAGCUUGAUGUUUUAACUGAGUACACGAAAGAGGCAACGUGUGCCCAAUGUGUCGUCUACAUAAGUGGCAAAGAUUCCAUUAUAAAUGCUAACAUGACUAGUAAAAUGGUCCUCAGGAAGAUAUAUUAGAAUGAUGAAUUCGAAGAGAGAUGGUUUAAGAAUGUGAUUCAAGAGAGCAUGGAAUUGGCUGUAAAGCCUAACUUAGGUAAUCCUCAAAUUAUAAGACAUCAUUUUCAAGGCAUGAAAAAGCGUAAAAAGGUUGUUGCCAAGGUGUUUGAUGCUUUUUUAGGGAAGAUUAUUGAUGAAUAUUUUCAAUCCAAUGAUGAAAAUGGAACCAACGAUUUUGUUGAUGUUAUGCUGGGCUAUGAGGGAUCAAAAGAAACCGAGCGCAUGAUCGAACGAGAGCAAACUAAAGCCACUAUCUUGGUAAGUACAAAGUAAAUCACAUUCUUUAAGUAAAUUAAAUUUUCCCUUGCUAGGUAUAAAGGUUUUGCCACAUUUAAACAACUUGUGCAUUGCUUUGAUUGAGAGCUUCCUGAGGGAAUAUUGCCAACUAAAUUAGACAUGACAGAAAAGUUUAGUUCUAUGACUCAUCAAUUGAGCCAAACAUCUUUUGGCUAUUCCAAGUUUUUUUUUUCACUCUAUGGGGGGUUAGGCGAGACCCCUACCUGCCAUUUAGAAUAUAUAAAGAAAAUACAUGUGGAGGGGGACAUAAACCAAAAUCUCCAAUCAAGAGAAAUAAAUAUAACAGUAAAUGAAAUGAUUUAGACAUAACCUAACAUAAGAAAAAAGACUAAUGCAGACGGUGAUAAUAUUUUUUACGAUACUUGCGGCCGACAAGUAAUUUAAUGCCUUUUUUUGAAUGACCGACAAUGUUAAAAUCAAGGCUAGAGUCAAUUCUCUCAGAAUUCUUAAGAGCAGACAAAAAAAUUGUCAUUAUUCGCUAAGUGAUCGUGAGAACUAUCAUCAUUAUCAGUAUGAGAAUUAUAAAGCCUAAAAUCUGUGUUGGAUGCUCGAUGAAGAUGUGUAUUGUACUCACCUGGUUCUUGGAUCCUAGAAUCAUGAGUCGUGACAUCUUGGCGAAUCGGCUCCUGAAUGGAAGUAGAGUUUAUAGCGUUAGCUCAGCUCUCUGUAGGUACAAUUGGAGACCCGUGUCAGCAAUCUGCUUAGUGAUGGAUAGCUCAGGUCGUGGAGUAUCCAAGGUUUGGGGAGUAUGUGACGACAAAAAUUCUAACUUCUUAUUAUCUAUUCUGGUCUGCCAAUUCCCACUGGGCCGCUGGAGACGGAGUCCCAGAUUGGCCAUGUAACACGUCUCAAUGGUAUGGCCAAGGUGUUUGCAGGAAGCAUAGUACAAUGGAAUUUUCUCAAAAAUUACACUCUGCCAAAAUCUAGAAUCUCCUAUACCAAUUCAUAUUCUUGGCAACAGAAGUUGAGUGACAUCAUACUCCACUAACACCCUGGCUACAUAAGGGCGAGCUAAAGAGGCAAUAGCUUGGUCAAUUCACAAUGGCUUACCAAUAGCAGAUGCAAUAGAAAAUAAUGUUUCCUUACAAUGCAUGAGUGGAUAGGCAAGUAAGGAAAUGAAAUCCAAACUGGGACUAUAGGGGACUCCUCGGAACAUCGAAAAUCGGUGGUCCAUUUAAAAAUUCUCAUGGCACUCCCAUUGAUGUAUCAUGUUUGCCUAACCCAUAGGCGGGAGUAGUCCUCCUCAAUAUCCAAUUGAAUUAACACAUGUCGAUUAUCUAAAGGGGACACCUUGAAAGUUCCCUUUAACCUCAAAGUAUUAAAAAAUUUAUGAAUUAAUUCCAUACUUGGUCUAUUAUAGGAAAAUUUACCUACCAAUAUCAGCUUGAAAGGAAUGACCAUCGCUUGAAUUUCUGUAGUGGAAAAUUGCACAUUAGGCUCUCCCUCGAACAAAGUGACGGUCUUGAUCGGAAUCCUCGAGUUGGAUAGGCCGUUCAUAAUAUCUACCAAAGAUAUUUUAGUGGGUUUAUUUUGAUUCAGAUUAGGGACAUAUUUCAAAUCUGAGGCAUAGGAGAGUGCAGAUGUGGGCUGAUUGGUAUUUUGGAUUAAUGGAUCAUUUUGGAGGUUAUUUAAUAAAAGUGUAGAGGGCAUUCGUGAGGGCUGGGUGUUGGGAUUUAUUUUGGAAAUGGAUUGGGCUUGGGUUUGACUAGUAGGAAAAGUGUGUGGGGCAUGGAAAGUGCUAGUUGGAGACAUACAUGGGGAACACAAAUCUUGUGUUGCCGAAAGUGUUCCAUGGGCAUGGGAAUUACCACCCACGUGCAGACUUUUGAGCUGGUGUUGGUUAGAUGUUUGAUGACUUUGGCUGGGUUCUGUGGUGGUUGUAUGCAACUGGCUUUCGGUUGGUAGUUGUAGUUGGCCGUGAGCACUGUCCCAAAUGCUUGCUUGUGAUUUGCAUGUGGUUUUUUGUCGUGUGGGAGUUGUUUGUGUAUGUGGUGAUUGUUGUUGGUUGGUGGUUGUAGCUUGAACCAAAUCUUGAGGCAAAUAGCCAUAGAGUAUAGGCUGGUUUUGAUGGUGUAUAGGGGCUGUGACAAUAGGGUGAUCUCCCGAAUGGUGUGUGGCUUGUGUUGGUUGCGGGCUGGAGGCUGGUGGCUGGUUGGCUUGAGGUGAAAAUCCAUUCACCAAAUCUGGUGCGACAGUAGGGUGCUCUCCCGAAUGGUGUAUGACUUGUAUUGGUUGCGGGCUGGAGGCUGGUGGCUGGUUGGCUUGAGAUGAAAGCUUGGAGUUGGCUGUUGAAGGGGUGGCGAUGACGGUUGGAGAUGGCUGUUGAGGGGAUGACAAUGGCGGUGUGUUUGCGGAAGUUGGGGGCUGUUGGGGUUGGGCUAGCGUUUGACUCUUGUAUUUUGAUUGAGUUUGCCUUUGGGAUCUCCUAAGAAAUGGAGGUUCAUUUCUGGAAGUGGGGGGAGGAGCCGGUGGUGGAUGGUUGCCAUUUUCGUUAGCCGGCGAGAUGAGAAUCAGCUUGUCUCGAGCAAUGCUUUCUCCUCCAUUUUCAAGUGAAUGGAGAGGAGAUUUUGCUAUCUCACGGCAGCAUUCAUGGUCAUUGAUGUCACAAGUGAUUGCCAUUUCUUUUUGUUCACUUACGGCAUUAGAUGUGAGUGAAGGUUGUUGAAUUUUCAAGAGGAUAGCGGCAGUGGACGUUGGUGGUUGGUGUGCAUGGGGUUGAAUUUGAGAUGGAGGGUCUGUAUGAGAGUGGUUUGGUUUGAUUCGCGGUGAUGGCAAUUGGACAUCCGGCGGUGGUUUGUUGUUGAAUUUUGGGGGUCAUUUAGUGAUAAUGUUGUUUGUUUGAUCUCUAGAUUAGCAUAAGGUAGGUGUUAAGAGAAACAAAAACAAAACAAAUUAAUAAAUUAAAUCAUUUGCGACCCAACAAUUAUUUUAAAGAAGAUUCCUUACUAAUAUUUGAAAGUAGAUAUUGUACCUAAAUAGUUAAGUUGUUCGGCAUCAUAAUUAUUAUAGAAGGUUUUGGUAAAUUUUUAAUUUCAUAAAAUCAUGUAACUCCCGCGAGUCGAACUAAGGUGGCCAGCCAAAUUAAACCACUUGAACUUAGAACUUUAACAAUAUAAUUCAUUCAAUAAACUUAAAGCUUAUGAAAUAAUUUAUACGAUUGUUACUCAAUAAUUUUUAAUGUUAGGGCCCAUUUGUGACUGCUAUUGAAAAAUUCAAAAAUGAUUUUAAGAAGUAAAAAAUCAUUUUAAUAGUUAUUUUUCUUGUCUAUCAUUUUUUGAAAAAAAAAAAAAAAGAUAAGAGGGGUAGGCAAAGUCAAAAUCCAUUUUUAAAUCGGGUGACUAGCUAAAUAAAGCUACUUAGAAGUCACCUAGCCAAGCUCCUCAAGACUUAUAUUUGCAUGCUUAUUUAUGUUUGUAAGUCGAUUUCUUUUGACAUUAUGUCCUUAUUAACCAUUUGUGAUUUUACAAUAAUAAAAUAAUAAGAUUUACUAAAUAUAUGUAAUUACUUUCAAAACUCACGAUACCUUUAAAAUAAAAUUUAUUUAACACAUAACGAAUACUUUUCACUUUUAAUUAUUGUUAUGACACAGCUAACAACAAUAAUUUUAAAAAUUAUUAUCAAACUCUCACCCUUGUUUCAUAUAUACAGGUGAGCAAUCUAUCUGUCUUUACAUUACUUCUUUCCCUUUCUCCAGCAGCAAUUAGAAUCUUUUCACAUAAUUAUCAUCUAAUGUAAUUAACUGGCGUUUUGGAUUUUCUUAGCGACGAGUUCAAGUACCGGUUUCCAAUAAAUUGAUUUACAUGAAAUGUGACCAAUAGGAAAAGAAGAGCCAUUAUCAAACUCACCCCUAGGAUUUGGCUUGAAACAUAUAACAAAAAUAAUAAAUUGAAAAUAUGGCUUUGAACUAUCGAUCAUUCCUUAUCCUAAUAGUUGACACCUCUAUUCAUUACUGUUAAGAAUGAUCGUUCAAAUUACUAGGUUGUCAUAGUAAAACUUUUCUUCGGUUACAGCCCAGUAAAAUGUUAGGGAAAUUGAUGGGUGAAGUAGAGUUACAGUUAAAAUGAAAUUGGAAGAAAAUAAAGAAUAAGCAUAAGGAGGACACUAGAAAAUUACGUGGUUUGGCUUUUAGCUUACGUCCAUGAGCGAAGACAGAAUAAAAAUAUUUUACUAAUGAAAUGAGAAUUACAAGUAUUGUAAUAUUGUAACUCACUUCCCAAAACCCCAAUAUACCCAAUCUCUCACUCACUAAUUACACAAAAGUAUUAGAGCUUUUAAUCUCUCACACAACUCAUAAUUUUUUUUCUCUCUCUCACAAAAUGGAAUUUCUCUCAAAUCUUGGAUGCAGGAACCAAAAUGGGAGCUUCCUUCAUAUAGCCAAAAUUGAAUAUUAUUUUAAUAUUUUGUUCACUCUUCUCGUGGCUUCUUUAAAGCCGUGUUCCAUCCCUCUUUUUUUCUUUCCAUUUUAGCGUGCCAACCACCAUUUGUCGAGAUCAACUUUUGCAGCAUCUUCUUCAUUCUUUUUUCUUCUUCUUUCUAAAAUGCAUCUUCAACGUCAAAGUCGUGUGCCACCACUUUUGCUUCUUCAAAGUUCCUACAGCUCUCUUUGAUUUUUCAUUGUU
RNAcentral lists this long non-coding RNA (9296 nucleotides) under Citrus sinensis (sweet orange). RNAcentral's name for it is "long non-coding RNA (CSIN_LNC000032)". The record is from RNAcentral. Lineage: Eukaryota; Viridiplantae; Streptophyta; Magnoliopsida; Sapindales; Rutaceae.